GAAUACUUUUGCAAGGCAAUGUUUGCCUGAUAAAAUUAAGUGCAGAGUUAGAAUGGGGUUACAGAGUAACAGAGAACCUCACAUAAACCUCUGUGCUGCACCUCAACAACUGCAUGUGGUUAGUUUGAAAAUACUAUAUCCCUGAAAACAGGUAACAUCUGCUUUCUGCCAACACCGCUAAGGCUGUAGGUUGACAGGAGGAAAUGGAGCCAAUGGGGCUAAUGCAGCUAUUUGGAGCUAAUGGUGCACAGCACAUCCACAGAGCUAGAAAGACGACUCAUCUCUAUUUCAAAGAAGUUCAUUUUCUUCUUAUUUUGUGUUUGAAGAAAAGCAUAAAGCUAAUAUUGGUGAUUUACCGCCACCUGCAGUGCUGGAGUCCUGAACCAAAUCUUAUCAUUCAUUUAUUGUGGCCACUAGAUAGCAGUGAUAUAGCUUAAAGCCAUGACAAACCAAGACAAUGCUCUGAUCCUUAGCUGAUCACUCCCAACCCAUAGGAAUCCCCACCCAAUUGACUACUUUCAUAUCAUGAAUGUUAAUUGUGGUGUCUUCAUUGGUGUUUAAAUUCAACUUGCCAGUUACCAGCUCAAUGCUUCAAACUCAAUGUGUAUUGCAACUCUAUUCGAGGUGCCACAGCAAAAAUAGUCCACCUACACAUUGGCAGAAGUUCCCUUAACAAACAUGUUCAAACCUGUGGCAUGCUCAAACCCUGUGGGCUGUUGUGGGUGAAGUAUUCAAAGGGGCCACACCUCUUGAAGGUUUUUUGAAGCAGUGUGAACAGCCUUCCAUAAACCCUUUGUACAACUGCUGCACCUCAACUAGAACAUUUGAAGAUGUGAGGUCGGGGAUACAGUCAACUUCUACAACACCUGGGCAGACAACUAUGAUCAGGAUCAUGCACUUCUGGACUUUUACGGGCCGUGUAGUGCCUGCAAAAUGCCUGUCCUGUUUCCAUGGUGACCGGGAGACAGCUAUGGUUCUGGACUUGGACUGUGGUACCGGAAUGGUCGCAUCACUGCUGAAGAGGAUGGGCUUCAGGCAUUUUGUGGGCGUUGACUGGAGCAAAGGCAUGCUGGAACUGGCCAAUAAGACGGGCCUCUACCAGGACCUCAAGCAAUGCAUGCUGGGAGACUAACCACUUCAUAACCAAGCUGGUACCACCGAACUUUGAACUUUAUAUAAUUUAUAAUAUGGAUGAUAAUCAGCUAAAAUCUUUGAAUUGAAACAAAGUGGCACACAGAGAAGGACGGGAGCUGCCCUGAUGUGCCCUUUCAUUAUAUUCCUCUGUCUUCAUCCUCUUGUCACACGCUAUAUUUCUCUGUCUUCAUCCUCUUGUCACACGCUAUUCCCACUCAGAAGCGAGAGCUAUGGAAUUUUCCUUCCAAAUUAUCCCAUUCACUCUUCAAAGGGGCAAUCUGCAGUUGCUACAUCAAUACAUUUUUUGAAUUCAGUCAGAAGAGCAUGUCCUCUGGCAGUGAGGCCUUUCCUUACUGCUUCUUCAAACAUCUUUCAGUAACGUCUCUCAUCAUCCUCAUGUCAUUCUCUGGGCCACAGGCAGCUUUAGCCUUCAUCUGCCUAGAGUGGUACCUUAGGUGUUGCUGUGGUUUCGCAGGAUCUUGACUCUCUCUCUCUCGUUCCUCUCUUCUACCUCCUCUAUCUCAACCACUCCCGGCAGGUGUGUUUGAUGUGGAUGUGGUCGUCAGAGCUAUGGCUCAUGGUUAGGCACCUGUGAGUGUUGUCUGAGAGCUGUGUGAGGCCCUUAAACCAGAUUCUUCAAAGCAGCCACCCUUUGGCUUAAUGACAGCUUUUCACACUCUUGGCAUUGCAAGUAUGGCUCGUUCACCUGAUCACCAAUUGUGAUUACAGCAUUCCCAAGAGUCUAGAUCAGAUAUACAAUAGAAAUAUACUGUGCAGACAUCAAGAUCUUCUGAAUGUCCAGAUGAAAAACCAUCAGAAGAUCUGACAUUCUUGUCUCAUGGCCUGAUUACUACCUAACCUGGGCUGUGUCAGAAUGGGCGUACUAUCUUAUUUAGUAUGUCACGCCAUGGGGACGGAUUGUAAAACUCACUAUAUACUGUAUAUUCUGUGUCACUGCCGUCUCUUUCCUGCCAAGUCAUGCAACGUGAUCCCUCGAUGGCCCGUGGAGUACAGAGGCUGAGCCUGAUUUAUUUAUUUUUUGGUCUGGUGAUGGCAGUCUUCUGCAUUUUGGGUUGGUCGGACAUCAAGGACCACCAUACCUGGGAAUUCACACGUGUUGAUGGCAACAUUGUCAAAGCACGGAGCGCUUGGAAGACCUGCGAAAGCCGAAAGCUCUGGAGAACUGAAGUGUCAAGAGCAUGAUCCUGACUCCUUUGAGAAGCUUCCAUCAUAUUUGCGCAAUGCUCAAGACUUGAUCAAUAGAACUAUCAUUAUAAGCGUAAGGCAUAUUGUUUGGAAUAUGUGCCCUAGCUGAAGCCCACAAUUCAAGAAGAAAACAUUGCUCUUACUACUGUAAUUAAUUUCAUGCUCUCUGGACUGUGUCCUCAACGCUUCCAGCUGGGCGGCCAAUGGCCUCUCAAACAACCAGCAUGAGCUGUCAGUGGCUGAUGGUCAGAUGUGGGAAUUCGGGAACUGUCUCUACAUUGGCUGGGUGGCUGCAAUCUAACUUGUCCUGGGAGGGGCAUGCUGGUUAAAUGCCACUUUGGACUUUAAUCUUAUAUCUAUUAAAGCAUGCUUUGAUUCGUUUUAAUUAUGUUCAGUCUAUUAACAGUAAAAUACAUGUUGUCGGUGAUGUAAACCUGCCAAGGACCGCAAUACCUCGGAAGUCAAACGGGUUCAUGGCAACAUUGUCAAAGCACGGAGCUUUUGGAAGACCUGUGGAAUAGAAAGCUCCAGAGAACUUUGUACAGAAUGUGUUUUUGAGAAAGAUUAGAUUUGUACUACUUUGUAAACAGUUAAUGUACUAACCAGCAAGUCAGUUAAAAAUACUUCACCAAAACCCUAUUUAUUUUUCUCUGAGUUUCAAUUAGUUAGAUUGCUUUAUGUAUUUUAGUCUCUUAUGUUGAUAUAUAAUUGAUCAAAUAUGGAGUACUUGUUUUUAAUUUCCUUCCAUCAAUUCCAAUAGUUUGUAGCUGUUACUUUUUGUCAGUUUAAAAUCUACCCAAUCUGGGAUGGUUCUUAUCCAUAAAUGUAACAACACUGCAAAAAAUGUUUUUUAAAUCAUCGAUGUUAUUAGAUUUAAAUCAUAUGGUGUUGCUUUAA
Molecule: non-coding RNA, 3237 nt
Organism: Salmo salar (Atlantic salmon)
Lineage: Eukaryota; Metazoa; Chordata; Actinopteri; Salmoniformes; Salmonidae
Source: RefSeq, a predicted model, not a curated record